This is an RNA transcript of Vollenhovia emeryi, 2971 nucleotides long. It is a transcript of the gene named osmotic avoidance abnormal protein 3-like, with no coding region annotated. NCBI's taxonomy places the organism in Eukaryota, Metazoa, Arthropoda, Insecta, Hymenoptera, Formicidae. The record is from RefSeq and is a predicted model, not a curated record. The transcript is spliced from 11 exons.
CAGUCUGAACGUGUUCGUCGUUCCGUACGCAUUAUCGUAUGUCGUUUCAAGUCCGCUCCGACUCGACUUUCAUGCGUCAAAUAGUCAUGUUCCUGUGUUUACCAAUAUAAAAUUACGAGAGAGAACGCGUUCUUCGUCGGUAUGUCCGAGUCUGUAAAAGUAGCAGUGAGAUGUCGACCUAUAUCCCAAAAAGAAUUGCAGCAAGGAUGUCAGAACGUGGUGACGAUCGAUCCGCUGACAAAAUUAUGUACAUUGGAAAAUGGUGCAAGUGGAAAAGUCUACCAAUUCGACGCUGCAUUCAGCCCGUCCGCUACAACAGAAUCGGUCUACGAAGAUGUAGGUUCUGUAAUUGUCGAGGCUGUCUUAGAGGGUUACAAUGGCACCGUGUUUGCUUAUGGUCAAACUGGUUGCGGGAAAUCAUUUACAAUGCGAGGAUUCAUCGAACGUGCAUUGGAACAUCUGUUCGAGGCGACUUCCACCGCCAGUUCCGAAACAAGGUAUUUGGCGUUGCUCAGUUACCUUGAGAUUUAUAACGAGCGAUUACGAGAUCUAUUACAAGACGACACUGGAGAAACUCUAACACUGAAAGAGGACCCCACAAAAGGUAUUUACGUCGCAGGUGGACUGCGCGAGGUCACUGUCAAAGAUGCGACCGAAUGCGCUGCAUUGGUUCAGCAGGGCGAUCAAAGGAGAGCCGCAGCUGCGACGAAGAUGAACGCCGCCAGUUCGAGAAGUCACGCUGUUUUAACUUUAUCACUCGAGGCGAUUGCCAUUAAUGACGACGAUAAACGUGGCAAUGCUAUCAGGAGAGGUCGAUUGCAUCUAGUCGAUCUAGCUGGAUCCGAGAGACAAGCUAGGACUGGAGCUACGGGAGAUCGUUUGAAAGAAGCUGCCAGCAUUAAUUUGAGCUUAUCAGCAUUGGGGAAUGUCAUAAGCGCGUUAGCUGCUGGAAAUGGAAGACACGUCCCUUACAGGGAUAGUAAACUGACGAGACUGCUGCGAGACAGUCUAGGUGGAAAUGCCAGAACUUUGAUGAUUGCCUGCGUGAGUCCGAGCGAUGUCGAUGCUGAAGAGACUCUCAGCACUCUGCGUUAUGCCGCUCGAGCUCGUUGCAUUAAGAAUAAGCCGAUUGUUAAUGAAGACCCCAAAGAUGCUCUUCUUAGACAAUAUCAAUUAGAACUUCAACGCCUAAAAAAGUUGCUUGAUGGCAACGAUCCGUUAAAUAGUGGAUCGGACUUCCAAAAGGAUGUGGAGGAAGAAAGAGAGAAACAAUAUUCCGAUGAGGUGGAGACGCUAAGGAAAGAGUGCGAGAGUUCAAAUCUAUCAGCUCAGAAACUAAAAGAAGAACUAGAAGCUCUGAAAUUCAGAUACAAAUCGGGAUUAAACAUGACGAAUAAUAUUGACCAAACUGGAAAACAAGAGUACGAGAAGAUGGAUGUAUGUCCAUUGGACAAGGAACGACUGGAAAAGAGAAGAAAGAAACGAGAAGCAGCUCUGCAAGACGUUUUAAAGAAGUUGGAGAAACUGACAAUCGGUGGAGAAGAGAUCGGGAAUGCGGAAUUAAAGAAAAGGAGGGAGAGGAGAAGGAAAAAAUUAGAAGUUCUUGUAGGGGCACUAGAAGCCAAUGAUGCCAAUGGUAGUGUCUUCCAAGUAUACGGUCAACUUAGAUCGACAGAAGAUGCACUGAAGAAGAUGGCAAAGCGAGUAAAACAAUUAGAAGCUGAGGCAGCGGACCUCCAGGCAUCCUGGGACGCCGAACGUCGCGAGCUUCUUCGCAGAGAAUUGUUAACGUCCCAAUUAUGUGACCUCAUGGUACCCUAUCUUCGUCCUGGCUGUCCUUUCCGCGAUAUUGCAGCAGUGAGAUCGGCGGCGACUUGGUGCGAUGAGUUAGGACGAUGGCGCUUGCCGGAUGUAUCCCCUCAUAUACCUCUACCUCCAGCCGCCUCCACAGCGCGGACAGAUAUUCUUCACCUCAGCGGUAUUUCCUCCAAGGCGGAUCACAAUAACAAUAGCAAUAAUAGUAGCAAUGACGAGAAUGACAGUGGUCAAGAUAACGAUAACGAAGAAGAUGAUAGACGAGAUAUGCAGAGGAAAAAGGGUUGGAAUGUCGUAAACACUUAUUUUCGGAGAAGAAGAGUCGAUACUCUUCUAGCACACGCAAGGGAAGCAAAGACUUUCGAGCCGGGAAAUCGACUGAGUAGAUCAGGAGGCUCCGAAGACUCGGGACCGAUCGCAGGUGGCAGCGGCUAUCUGCAGCUAAACGCGCUGAACUUACAAAGUAGCGCGCCGAUGUUCGGCGAAAGCAAUUACAGCCCGAAUCAGCGCAGAUCGGCAAUACGCGGUGGCUGGGUCUACGAUGAGCAACCUAACCGACCUAGCUAUAACUCUUUCAUCAAUAACACAAAGAAACCUCCUCCAAGAAUAUUGGAAGCCUUACCUUCGUACCCACAUGACGGUACCCCAUUCAAAUCACCGGUUCACCUCAAAGAAAUGGAAUUGGAGGAAAUGUCUGAGCGAGGACUGCCAUCGAGAUUGCUACGCAGCAACGAUAAUUUUACCCGACAUCACCCAUUCCACGUUGAACGUGCCUGUUCGCCAACUUAUUGACAAGCCAGCCAAUAACUUUCAAUAAAUAUGAUAUUUUGUAUUAAAGAAGAAGCUAAGAGAAAAUGUAUAUAAGGUGAAACCAGGCAGCGGCGCCCCUACAGAUUUGGCGCCCUGGGCGAUCGCCCAACCGCGCUCCACCCUAACGCCGGUUCGAAAAACAGGGGUCAAGCUGAGAGGAAUGUCAAGGCAACACUGAUGACGCUCGAUGGAACUACUGACACAUCAGAAACACUAACGGGUGACGGAUUAAACUCUAAUUCACGAAAUGCUAUGUCUUCAAUCUCUCACUAGAGAUGACUUUGUAAUUUGUUUAAGCUCAUGCUUAAAAAACAAAUAUCUGUAAAAUAAAUAUUUGAAAAAUGCA